CCAUCAAUUCCGCAAUGCACUGAUUCACUUCCGUGAGCCGCUCCUUCAGCUCAUCUCUCUCGACGCGGGCAUCCAACAACAGCUCUUGCACAGUUUUCCCGGGGGCACCGGAGGACGGUCAAUGGGCACCAUCAGCCUCCCAUUCACCUCCUCCGCAUCCUGAGCGCGGCCCGACAAAAGAAGCUCGUGGUAGACGACCUCCUGGACAUCUUCAUAUGAUCGCUCCUCCUCUAGCACCUCGAUAAUUCUGAGAGUAAUGGCGUCUGUCGGAAGACGCCGGAGACGAGAUAUCAGGUCAUGCCAACGCCUCCACUCCAGCUCCCUGCCAUAAUGUACACUAGAGCUCACACCAGAACUUCCUGAAGAAAUUUUUCUGCAAAAACACACAACAACAGUCAGUAGAGCACGAUCAAGGCAGGAGACACAACAAAAAUAGAGGAAAACUUGCCAGUAUUUAUUCCGAUUACGCGACGACGACUCACCAAAAAAUAAGAGUGCAAAAGUAAGAGAUCAACAACUGAUGUUCUCGUGCACAAGCCUCCACUAUUAUAGGCCAAGUCCAAUUGCUUGGAAUUCAGCCGUUGAUAUUUCCCUAGGCAGUCAACUGUCAAAAUCACGCCAUCGACGCCUGAUAGGCAAUCGUGGGGAAUAUAUUUACAUAUUUUUUCAAAAUUACUCUAGUAUUGGCCUUGUCCAAUACGACGAGGCAUAUUUACAUAUUUUUUCAUAUUGUUCGCGUUCCCCGUACUUGGCAGCAUAUUUGUAUUUUUUAAGUCGCAUUCAACUCCACUCAAUUCUAGUCAUGACAUUUGCGGGUUAUUACCUACUCCUCCCAUCCGCUAAAGCAAAAUGGAAGGAGUAUGAGGGAAAUGAUAUGGUACCCCCGCUACAGUACUCGCUACAGUGACUGCCCCCAGCACCGUGUCCGCUACGGUACGCGAACAACACAAAACGGCCCUCAUCAUAACAAAGUACAAGACAAACAGGAUAAAAGGUAAGCACGAAUCUCAAAAUGAUCUCAAAAGGACACACAAAAGGUCAGUUGGUACAUGAAAUCAAACAAACCAUGCUGGGAGGUAGGUAUGGGUUCGCAGUCGCUACUGUAGCGGACAAAGCCCUAUAUAAAAGCCUCCCAGUUCACAUUUUUUAAGUAAGUGAAUUCUAACUCUCAAAAACUAUACACACCUCUAGUUCACUCUCUCUCACAUCUAGAGCUUUGAGCUCUCUGAUACCCAUACUUAUCAAACAUUUCGAUCACUGAUUAUCACGCUGGAGACGCUUUAUGGGACACACCCCCGUACGACGUUGUUGGACCCACCCGACGAGGAAAGGACCUCGGCUUCCCGGAAGAGUGUGUUGGACCCACCCGACGAGGAAAGGAGUUAUCACAUAUCAAUCAGUUUGGUGUUUAUGGCCAUGAUGUUUUUUUACAGGAGAUUUAUAUAUGAGAAAUAUGUUACGGAAAUUGAUGCAACACAAAUUUCCGACGUGCAAACAUUCAACUAUUGUUAAACAAACUACAAAUUAUAACAAAGGAACUAAAAUCAGCUACAUUCCUCCACUAGCUAAAGGGUAAGAAUAAGAACUUGUGGACAGUGCAAUAAGUAUCCAUAAUGCAGGAAUCAUCAUGCAAAGAAUCUAAUCCAGAUAAGGAAAGAAUCACCGGUCAGCCUCGCUCUUCUGAGAUCGAACUAAUAUAACUUACGUUAAAGGAAAGAGUUACAUGAGCAGCAGCAUCAAGGAGAAGUUUUGCCCAUUGAAGGAGGUACUUUUGUAGCGAAGUUUCUAAAAAAUUAUCAAGCAAUGGCUCAACUACCCCAAUCUUGUACUGCCAAGCCUGAUUUUGUCCCUCUACAUUGUACCGACCCCAGCAGUGAUGUUAGGCAACUCAAGGCAAGUAUCAAUGAAAUUUAAGAUUGAAAUUCACCACUCUCUAUACAGCAUAUAUAAUUAAAACAUGCUGUGCUGAUUUUUUUCUUGUAGAAUGGUUCUAAUUUUGUGAGUGCAUCGGCUCUUAAGUUCGAAGGCAACUGGAAAGAAAAGUAAGUGUGAGGAAGUAUUUAGAGUUUACCAGUGAUACUAUCAAAAUAAAUCAAAUAUACUCAUACUUCAAUAAUUUUGACUGCAGUACCACUUAUGCCGAGUUACUAGAUAGCUGCACGUUCAAAGUUAGCGGAGAUUGCCGGCUUCAAGGACAUAAUUACAUGGCACAGUUCGUGAUCGGGCUGACACAUCAUCAUACUAUUGGAAGAGUGAAAAUUGAAACCAGCUCUCCAAAGCAAGAGUCUGAAGAAGACUUGAGUAAUCAGACAUCUGAGCUUGUGAAACCACUUUUGAUCGGCCUUUGUGGUGAUGACCAUGUCGAAUAUUCCCUCACUAGUGUUGAACCCCACCGGAAGAUGCAGAAAGGCCUAAUUGUCUAUGGUGUUUCGUUUACCCUUGUGGGAAUGUAAUCAUCUAUAUGUGUAGCCAUGCAUGAGUUUGUCAAGCUCAUCAUGUCAUAAAUGCAUGUAAUGGAAUAAGACUAACAGCCUGCACUAGCUUGGGUUGUGCACUAUAUUGUGGGAAAUUGAAUUUGAAUCCACCUUAUUAGUUAAAGACUCCUCUCUUCGGCCUAAUUGUGGAAGAGGGGAUGAUUCAAAUCCAUUGAAGAUAACAUCACUCACCUCUAUAAUUGUUUAUACUACUGUUUUCUUGUAAAUAGUCUAAUAUGCAUAAAUAAAAAGAAAAAAGGCAUUGCACUGUGCUGGCAAGUCCACAAUAAUCAUCCACAUGCAAUUAAUGAGGACAAAUUGGUUAUAAAGAGUUCCAGGUUCAACUUUAAACGAAGAAGAAUAGAUCACAAGUAUAGCUGAAACAGCUAAAUUACGGAAAGAAUACAUCACAAGUACAUAAGGAACAACAACCAAACCAAGCAGAGGAUUAGAGGAGAACCUUGUCGACUUGGUUCAGAAGAUUCCGUUAUGCCG
Molecule: long non-coding RNA, 2969 nt
Filed under: Daucus carota (carrot)
Lineage: Eukaryota; Viridiplantae; Streptophyta; Magnoliopsida; Apiales; Apiaceae
Description: long non-coding RNA (DCAR_LNC000892)
Source: RNAcentral